This 251-nucleotide ribosomal RNA is filed under the name uncultured prokaryote. Its description in RNAcentral is "partial 16S ribosomal RNA". It matches the Rfam family "Bacterial small subunit ribosomal RNA", at positions 524 to 774 of the family's 1533-position model. The record is from RNAcentral.
UACGUAGGGUGCGAGCGUUAAUCGGAAUUACUGGGCGUAAAGCGUGCGCAGGCGGUUCGCUGUGUCCGAUGUGAAAGCCCCGGGCUUAACCUGGGAAUGGCAUUGGAAACUGGCGGGCUUGAGUGUGGCAGAGGGGGGUGGAAUUCCGCGUGUAGCAGUGAAAUGCGUAGAGAUGCGGAGGAACACCGAUGGCGAAGGCAGCCCCCUGGGCUAACACUGACGCUCAGGCACGAAAGCGUGGGGAGCAAACA